This 594-nucleotide ribosomal RNA is filed under the name Colletotrichum sp. ICMP 17327. Its description in RNAcentral is "eukaryotic LSU rRNA". The stretch from base 234 to 387 matches the Rfam family "5.8S ribosomal RNA". The record is from RNAcentral. Lineage: Eukaryota; Fungi; Ascomycota; Sordariomycetes; Glomerellales; Glomerellaceae.
UGGGAACUAAAAAAUCGUAACAAGGUCUCCGUUGGUGAACCAGCGGAGGGAUCAUUACUGAGUUACCGCUCUAUAACCCUCUGUGAACAUACCUAACUGUUGCUUCGGCGGGCAGGGGUCCCCACCGCGGGUCCCCUCCCGGCCUCCGCCCCCUCGGGGGCGGGGCGCCCGCCGGAGGUCACCAAACUCUAUCUCGACGACGUUUCUUCUGAGUGGCACAAGCAAAUAAUUAAAACUUUCAACAACGGAUCUCUUGGUUCUGGCAUCGAUGAAGAACGCAGCGAAAUGCGAUAAGUAAUGUGAAUUGCAGAAUUCAGUGAAUCAUCGAAUCUUUGAACGCACAUUGCGCCCGCCAGCAUUCUGGCGGGCAUGCCUGUUCGAGCGUCAUUUCAACCCUCAAGCACCGCUUGGUUUUGGGGCCCUACGGUCGACGUAGGCCCUUAAAGGUAGUGGCGGACCCUCCCGGAGCCUCCUUUGCGUAGUAACUAACGUCUCGCACUGGGAUCCGGAGGGACUCUUGCCGUAAAACCCCCCAAUUUUCUAAAGGUUGACCUCGGAUCAGGUAGGAAUACCCGCUGAACUUAAGCAUAUCAA